UUUCCGUAGGUGAACCUGCGGAAGGAUCAUUAAAGAACGCCCCGUUUUUUGAAAUGGGUAAUUCUAAACCGUGUAUACAUAUCUUUGUUGCUUUGGCAGGCCGCCCCUCAGGGCGUCGGCUCCGGCUGACUGCGCCUGCCAGAGGACCCAAACUCUUUUGUUUAGUGAUGUCUGAGUACUAUAUAAUAGUUAAAACUUUCAACAACGGAUCUCUUGGUUCUG
RNAcentral lists this unclassified non-coding RNA (222 nucleotides) under plant metagenome. Its description in RNAcentral is "partial contains small subunit ribosomal RNA, internal transcribed spacer 1, and 5.8S ribosomal RNA". The record is from RNAcentral.